GGUGGAGAAAACUCUGCAGACACGCGCUCGUUUCUGGAUGCAAAAGUAACGCUGUAAAACAGCCGAGAAGAGAAGGAAAACCACGCCAGCAGGCAGGUUGCUGAUUGCUUCCCACAGCUGUGUUCACUUACCAUGGAGACGUGAGAGGGGAUAAAAACACAGGCCAAACACUUAGAUGUUGUGAAAGGAGCUAGAGAACCUUUCUCCAAAGCACUAGCUGAGGUUCAGUUGAAUUAAGGCUGUUGAAAAGUUGAACUGUUGUGAUUUAAGAUCUGACUUGUGUAUGAUUGGUGCUUGUUCUGUGUUGUGGCUAAGAGCAGUACCACAGUUUAAACUUUGAUUUCUUUCUUUUGCUUUUUCCCCAGGAAGCAGUAAGGAGGUAGACGGCCAUUGCUUUUUGUUGGACUUUUUCUCCUGUUUUGAGGUCAGUCAGGGAGUCAGUGUAGUUUUGUUGUUGAUUUUCAUCAUUGUUUUCUUGUAGUUUAUUUAUAGGCUUUACUCCCAGACAGAACCCUGUUUUGUUUGUUAUUUUGGCUGUAUUCCACUCCUGAAGCUAGAGCUUCCUUGACACUCAUUGUGUGACUCUUUGGUUUUGUAAAUAAACUUUUGGAACUUUA
Non-coding RNA from Danio rerio (zebrafish), 617 nucleotides. The record is from RefSeq and is a predicted model, not a curated record. NCBI's taxonomy places the organism in Eukaryota, Metazoa, Chordata, Actinopteri, Cypriniformes, Danionidae.